UGGGGAAUCUUGCGCAAUGGGGGAAACCCUGACGCAGCGACGCCGCGUGCGGGAUGAAGGCCUUCGGGUUGUAAACCGCUUUCAGCAGGGACGAGGCCUUAUGGUGACGGUACCUACAGAAGAAGCAACGGCUAAAUACGUGCCAGCAGCCGCGGUAAUACGUAUGUUGCGAGCGUUAUCCGGAAUUAUUGGGCUUAAAGGGCAUCUAGGCGGUAAGACAAGUUGAAGGUGAAAACCUGUGGCUCAACCAUAGGCUUGCCUACAAAACUGUUGAACUAGAGUACUGGAAAGGUGGGUGGAACUACACGAGUAGAGGUGAAAUUCGUAGAUAUGUGUAGGAAUGCCGAUGAUGAAGAUAACUCACUGGACAGAAACUGACGCUGAAGUGCGAAAGCUAGGGGAGCAAACAGG
RNAcentral lists this ribosomal RNA (411 nucleotides) under Verrucomicrobiota bacterium. RNAcentral describes it as "Verrucomicrobia bacterium partial 16S ribosomal RNA". It matches the Rfam family "Bacterial small subunit ribosomal RNA", at positions 355 to 776 of the family's 1533-position model. Lineage: Bacteria; Pseudomonadati; Verrucomicrobiota. The record is from RNAcentral.